UGGGGAAUUUUGGACAAUGGGGGCAACCCUGAUCCAGCCAUUCCGCGUGAGUGAAGAAGGCCUUCGGGUUGUAAAGCUCUUUUGUCCGGAGCGAAACGGUUGUGGUGAAUAUCCACGACUACUGACGGUACCGGAAGAAUAAGCACCGGCUAACUACGUGCCAGCAGCCGCGGUAAUACGUAGGGUGCGAGCGUUAAUCGGAAUUACUGGGCGUAAAGCGUGCGCAGGCGGGCUUUUAAGCCAGACGUGAAAUCCCCGGGCUCAACCUGGGAAUGGCGUUUGGGACUGGAAGUCUGGAGUGCGGCAGAGGAGACUGGAAUUCCUGGUGUAGCAGUGAAAUGCGUAGAUAUCAGGAGGAACACCGAUGGCGAAGGCAGGUCUCUGGGCUGACACUGACGCUCAUGCACGAAAGCGUGGGGGAGCGAAACAGGAUUAGAUACCCUGGUAGUCCACGCCCUAAACGACUGUCGACG
RNAcentral lists this ribosomal RNA (473 nucleotides) under uncultured Pseudomonadota bacterium. Its description in RNAcentral is "bacterial SSU rRNA". It matches the Rfam family "Bacterial small subunit ribosomal RNA", at positions 355 to 818 of the family's 1533-position model. Lineage: Bacteria; Pseudomonadati; Pseudomonadota. The record is from RNAcentral.